RNAcentral lists this ribosomal RNA (253 nucleotides) under uncultured bacterium. RNAcentral describes it as "partial 16S ribosomal RNA". It matches the Rfam family "Bacterial small subunit ribosomal RNA", at positions 524 to 776 of the family's 1533-position model. The record is from RNAcentral.
UACGGAGGGAGCUAGCGUUGUUCGGAAUUACUGGGCGUAAAGCGCGCGUAGGCGGCUUUGUAAGUUAGAGGUGAAAGCCCGGGGCUCAACUCCGGAAUUGCCUUUAAGACUGCAUCGCUAGAAUCAGGGAGAGGUGAGUGGAAUUCCGAGUGUAGAGGUGAAAUUCGUAGAUAUUCGGAAGAACACCAGUGGCGAAGGCGGCUCACUGGACCGGCAUUGACGCUGAGGUGCGAAAGCGUGGGGAGCAAACAGG